This 253-nucleotide ribosomal RNA is filed under the name uncultured bacterium. RNAcentral's name for it is "partial 16S ribosomal RNA". It matches the Rfam family "Bacterial small subunit ribosomal RNA", at positions 524 to 776 of the family's 1533-position model. The record is from RNAcentral.
UACGUAGGUGGCAAGCGUUAUCCGGAUUUAUUGGGUGUAAAGGGCGUGUAGGCGGGAGCGCAAGUCAGAUGUGAAAACUCAGGGCUCAACCCUGAGCCUGCAUUUGAAGCUGUGUUUCUUGAGUGCUGGAGAGGCAAUCGGAAUUCCGUGUGUAGCGGUGAAAUGCGUAGAUAUACGGAGGAACACCAGUGGCGAAGGCGGAUUGCUGGACAGUAACUGACGCUGAGGCGCGAAAGCGUGGGGAGCAAACAGG